Molecule: non-coding RNA, 72 nt
Organism: Dipodomys ordii (Ord's kangaroo rat)
Lineage: Eukaryota; Metazoa; Chordata; Mammalia; Rodentia; Heteromyidae
Source: Rfam
GGGAAGGUGGCUCAGUGGUAGAGCACUUGCCUUGCAUGCAUGAGGCCCUGGGUUUGAAUCCUUACUACCACA